GACGAACGCUGGCGGCGUGCUUAACACAUGCAAGUCGAACGGAAAGGCCCUGCUUUUGUGGGGUGCUCGAGUGGCGAACGGGUGAGUAACACGUGAGUAACCUGCCCUUGACUUUGGGAUAACUUCAGGAAACUGGGGCUAAUACCGGAUAGGAUCUCCUGCUGCAUGGUGGGGGUUGGAAAGUUUCGGCGGUUGGGGAUGGACUCGCGGCUUAUCAGCUUGUUGGUGGGGUAGUGGCUUACCAAGGCUUUGACGGGUAGCCGGCCUGAGAGGGUGACCGGCCACAUUGGGACUGAGAUACGGCCCAGACUCCUACGGGAGGAAGCAGUGGGGAAUAUUGCACAAUGGGCGGAAGCCUGAUGCAGCAACGCCGCGUGCGGGAUGACGGCCUUCGGGCGGUAAACCGCUUUCGCCUGUGACGAAGCGUGAGUGACGGUAAUGGGUAAAGAAGCACCGGCUAACUACGU
Molecule: ribosomal RNA, 467 nt
Filed under: uncultured bacterium
Lineage: Bacteria
Description: partial 16S ribosomal RNA
Rfam family: Bacterial small subunit ribosomal RNA
Source: RNAcentral